AAGUCGUAACAAGGUUUCCGUAGGUGAACCUGCGGAAGGAUCAUUAGUGAAUAUUAGGACGUUCAAUUUAACUUGAAGUCCGAACUCUCACUUUCUAACCCUGUGCAUUUGUUUUGGCUAGUAGGAUAUUUCGGUAUCCGAACACCUCUUCAUUUACAAACACUAAGUCUAUGAAUGUUUAAAUUUUAUAACAAAAUAAAACUUUCAACAACGGAUCUCUUGGCUCUCGCAUCGAUGAAGAACGCAGCGAAAUGUGAUAAGUAAUGUGAAUUGCAGAAUUCAGUGAAUCAUCGAAUCUUUGAACGCAUCUUGCACUCUCUGGUAUUCCGGAGAGUAUGCCUGUUUGAGUGUCAUGAAUUCUUCAACCCUCCCUUUUCUUAGUGAAUUGAGAGGUGUUUGGAUUCUGAGUGUUGCUCCUAACCCGAGCUCAUUCGUAAUGCAUUAGCAUCCAUAUUCGAAUUUCGGAUUGACUUGGCGUAAUAGACUAUUCGCUGAGGAAUCUAACUUCGGUUAGAGCCGUGUUUGAACUAGGAAGCUACUAAUCUAGCUUAGUCUACCUUUAGAUUAGACCUCAAAUCAGGCAGGAUUACCCGCUGAACUUAA
This 603-nucleotide ribosomal RNA is filed under the name Rhodosporidiobolus fluvialis. Its description in RNAcentral is "eukaryotic LSU rRNA". The stretch from base 200 to 353 matches the Rfam family "5.8S ribosomal RNA". The record is from RNAcentral. Lineage: Eukaryota; Fungi; Basidiomycota; Microbotryomycetes; Sporidiobolales; Sporidiobolaceae.